Molecule: ribosomal RNA, 405 nt
Filed under: uncultured bacterium
Lineage: Bacteria
Description: partial 16S ribosomal RNA
Rfam family: Bacterial small subunit ribosomal RNA
Source: RNAcentral
AUUGAACGCUGGCGGCAUGCUUUACACAUGCAAGUCGAACGAGUGGCGGACGGGUGAGUAAUAUAUCGGAACGUGCCCAGUAGCGGGGGAUAACUACUCGAAAGAGUGGCUAAUACCGCAUAUGAUUGGAUGGGCCGAGAUCGGAUUAGCUAGUUGGUGGGGUAAAGGCUCACCAAGGCAACGAUCCGUAGCUGGUUUGAGAGGACGACCAGCCACACUGGGACUGAGACACGGCCCAGACUCCUACGGGAGGCAGCAGUGGGGAAUUUUGGACAAUGGGGGAAACCCUGAUACAGCCAUCCCGCGUGUAUGAGAAGGCCUUCGGGUUGUAAAGUACUUUUGGCGUAGAAGCGGUAUCUGCAGAAUAAGCACCGGCUAACUACGUGCCAGCAGCCGCGGUAAUUC